Molecule: ribosomal RNA, 413 nt
Filed under: uncultured microorganism
Description: bacterial SSU rRNA
Rfam family: Archaeal small subunit ribosomal RNA
Source: RNAcentral
GCGCACCAGGCGCGAAACCUCCGCAAUACACGAAAGUGUGACGGGGCCAUCCCGAGUGCCGUCCGCUGAGGACGGCUUUUCCCCAGUGUACACAGCUGGGGGAAUAAGGAGAGGGCAAGCCUGGUGUCAGCCGCCGCGGUAAUACCAGCUCUCCGAGUGGUGGGGACGCUUAUUGGGCCUAAAGCAUCCGUAGCCGGCUGGGCAAGUCCUCCGUUAAAUCCAACGAUUCAAUCGUUGGGCUGCGGGGGAUACUGUCCAGCUUGGGGGCGGGAGAGGCCGACGGUAUUCCCGGGGUAGGGGUGAAAUCUUAUAAUCCCGGGAGGACCACCAGUGGCGGAGGCUGUCGGCUAGAACGCGCCCGACGGUGAGGGAUGAAAGCUGGGGGAGCGAACCGGAUUAGAUACCCCUGUAGU